Molecule: ribosomal RNA, 253 nt
Filed under: uncultured bacterium
Lineage: Bacteria
Description: partial 16S ribosomal RNA
Rfam family: Bacterial small subunit ribosomal RNA
Source: RNAcentral
UACGUAGGGGGCAAGCGUUGUCCGGAUUUAUUGGGCGUAAAGAGCGUGUAGGCGGUUUGGUAGGUCCGUUGUGAAAACUCGAGGCUCAACCUCGAGACGCCGAUGGAAACCAUCAGACUAGAGUCCGGAAGAGGAGAGUGGAAUUCCUGGUGUAGCAGUGAAAUGCGUAGAUAUCAAGUGGAACACCAGUGGCGAAGGCGAGUCUCUGGACAUUUCCUGACGCUGAGGCACGAAAGCCAGGGGAGCAAACGGG